AAUGAACGUUGGCGGCGUGGAUUAGGCAUGCAAGUCGAGCGCUCAUAGCAAUAUGGGAGCGGCGAACGGCGUAGUAAUGCAUCGGAACGUACCCUUCGGUCGGGGAUAGCCACGGGAAACUGUGGGUAAUACCCGAUGAUAUCUGCGGAUCAAAGGUGAGAUUCCGCCGGAGGAGCGGCUGAUGUGAUAUUAGCUUGAUGGUGGGGUAAUGGCCUACCAUGGCGAUGAUGUCUAGGGGGUGUGAGAGCAUGGCCCCCACGACCGGAACUGAGACACUGUCCGGACACCUACGGGUGGCUGCAGUCGAGAAUCUUCCGCAAUGGACGAAAGUCUGACGGAGCGACGCCGCGUGCGGGAUGAAGGCCCUUGGGUUGUAAACCGCUGUCAGAGGGGAUGAAAUCUCCGGGGGUACUCCCCCGGAGUUGACAGAGCCUCAAAGGAAGCACGGGCUAAGUACGUGCCAGCAGCCGCGGU
This 474-nucleotide ribosomal RNA is filed under the name uncultured bacterium. RNAcentral describes it as "bacterial SSU rRNA". It matches the Rfam family "Bacterial small subunit ribosomal RNA", at positions 29 to 521 of the family's 1533-position model. The record is from RNAcentral.